AUUGAACGCUGGCGGCAGGCCUAACACAUGCAAGUCGAACGGUAACAGGAAGAAGCUUGCUUCUUUGCUGACGAGUGGCGGACGGGUGAGUAAUGUCUGGGAAACUGCCUGAUGGAGGGGGAUAACUACUGGAAACGGUAGCUAAUACCGCAUAACGUCGCAAGACCAAAGAGGGGGACCUUCGGGCCUCUUGCCAUCGGAUGUGCCCAGAUGGGAUUAGCUAGUAGGUGGGGUAACGGCUCACCUAGGCGACGAUCCCUAGCUGGUCUGAGAGGAUGACCGCCCACGCUGGAACUGAGACACGGUCCAGACUCCUACGGGAGGCAGCAGUUGGGAAUAUUGCACAAUGGGCGCAAGCCUGAUGCAGCCAUGCCGCGUGUAUGAAGAAGGCCUUCGGGUUGUAUAAUACUUUCAGCGGGGAGGAAGGGAGUAAAGUUAAUACCUUUGCUCAUUGACGUUACCCGCAGAAGAAGCACCGGCUAACUCCGUG
Molecule: ribosomal RNA, 490 nt
Filed under: uncultured bacterium
Lineage: Bacteria
Description: partial 16S ribosomal RNA
Rfam family: Bacterial small subunit ribosomal RNA
Source: RNAcentral